UAUUAGCGUUUCAGCCCAGAUAUUAACAGAAUACCAGCAUUGUUUGUGAACCUCUGCACUGGCCCUGCCUCUUGUCUUGACAUAUAACAUCUAACGACAAUCCAUAAGUAUAUGAAAAACCUCAAUUAGACACUGAAUAUCAAUAUCUUUUCCAGUCGUGACGUCACACUGAGGCGUAGUUCAGAAUAGCUUGUUCAAAUGGAGCUAUUUCAUCACAUAGUACCAGCUUUAUCCUCCAACAGCACUUAAAUUACACCUCUAAUGGUGAAAUCCACCCCAACACUAUGGUUCCUGUUUCCCAUAAUAAGGACUCUCAUUGGACAAAGGUCUGGAAGGAUAAAUAUUUGACUGGUUUGAUCCAGUCGAUUAACAUUCUCACUCUUUGUCUCUCAGUCUUGCCCAGCGUGUCCCAGACUACAGUAAGUCAUCACUGGCUCCCCCACUUUGACAGUUGAGUCUUGUGAUGCGUGAAGGACCUGCAUGCUGAAUCUUCUCUCUCUCACUCGCUCAAUCCCUCUUUCUCUCUCUCUCUCUCUCUCUUUCUAUCACACACAUACAGUUCACAGACUACUUUCUUUCAUUCUCCCAACAGGGCUUAACAGUGCACCAUGCACUCAGCAACACCAAUCCCUACUUACCUAGCUAUGCAAAACACACACAUGCACUCACUCACACACACUGCAAAUACUUUACGACUACUGGGACUAUCGCAUGAACACAUCAGGAUGCAGUCUGUCACAUAAAUACAUCAUUUUGGGAGAUCUCCUGCGGAAAUCAUAGCACUACAGUAUAGGUAUUAUUUACAUAUUUAUUGUUGGUGCAUUUCCCUGAACUGAUGUCACACAGAUGUUUUGACCCCUCUUUGUCAUAUGAGCUAAGCUGUGACAGCUGGAGUCAGACCAGAUGCUAGUGAGACAUCAUACCCUUACAUGCCACCAGCGGAGGUGUCGGAACAGUACUGGGCUGUACAGAGAUUUUGCAUAGUGGGCACAGUCAACAUUGCAGAUCACGUGUCAGACUCUGACCCAGAAGGAAUGGUCCACACACAACCAUUACAAAGCAAACACACUGAGAAAUGAUCUUUGUGUUAUUACAGUUUGAGUCAGGUCCAGUAUGAAGCUUUACUUGAGAUAAAUGGCAGACAUGAACCCAAAAGCACAAAACAGGGAGCAAUGAGAGUUCAGCUUUACUCAAUUCAGAGGCAGGCACGGGCGAAAACCAGAAGAUCAAGCGAACAAUUCCAGCAAUCCAAAAAUCAGGCAAUCGGCCCAAACAUUUGGAAGCCUGAAGAAUGUUUUCAGCACAGGUGCUCAGUGAGCCAUUUUUCCUUAAUACAUCCACGCUAUGAACCUACUGACAUGACCUGGAAGUUAAGUUAAAACAGGGUUCUCUGUGAAUCUUCCAGCAGUAUGCAGCUGGAUAAGGUGCAUCUCAGCUCAAGGACAGACAGCAAACUUCCAAGGGGAAAAAAAAGGGACUGGAGCCUCCACAUUAUCCCAAGGGCAGGCCAAAAACAGCUCGCCCACAACAAGUACUUUCCUUAGUGAAUGGUCCACAGACAACCAAAUCUAAUAUCAGUCCUCCCAGACAUUAAUUAACAUUAACUCGGCCUGCCGCGAUUAGCCAGCAUAAUCGAUGACGUGAACGCUGAAAAUGCGUCCACAUCAAUAUUUUAAACCGAUGCAUGUUUUUUGAAAACUUUUGUCCCUUUAGCUGCUAAACUCUCAUAAACCCAUAAAGUUGUCUGUUUGCUAUCUUAGAAAUUACAUUGAAUACGUGUUGGAAGAAAAACUAUGCCAGUUUUCAGCCGGCUCCGAGUCACUACAGUCUGGGCAGUACAUGCAGAUGGAGUUCCCCCCGCACACCCGACCAGAACACUAGUUACUUUUAAUUCUUUCAAAGUAAAACUAAAAUCAUAUUUAGUCAUCCCUUUUUGUAGUCUGAGUUAAUGUCAACGUGUUUUGUAAAUGUAUUGUUAAUAGUUUUUUUUUAUUAAAAGAAAGAAAAAAGGUCUUUGAGGAAAUAUCCCAUCUGUUUUCCUCUCAUCAGCUGGAGGGGCGUGUCCCUGUCUGUGUUUGAUGGACAGCAGCUGGCAGGCUGCCAGUGUGCCGGUGUUACACCGUAGAGAACGAGAGGAUGUGGGAACGAGAGAGUGCCGAUGUUACACCUGUUAUGGAAAUUGUUGUGUUAAAUGCUCAUCUGCUGCUUGUAGCUGCCAAAACAUAAUGCAUUAUAUGCAUAAUGAAGUAUAACCUAAGAGUGACUGUUGUGAAACUGCAAUGAUUUGAUGUAAGAAUAAAAGCCUGGAGAAGUAGUAGGCUUCUCUCUGUCUCUCUGUGUGUCUGUCAGAAUUAGACUUCUCCCCAUGUGUCUGUGUAAAGGUAUCCAAUUUGCAUAUCAAGUGCAUGACAACUGUUGCCAGGUGAAGACCGCUAGCAUGUAAAGGUGAGUGAGCAGAGAGCGACAAAGAGAAGAACAGAGAGUAGAAGAGAGGGUUAAGAGAAACAGAACCUCAGAACCGGAGGUGUUCUGUAGCUUGUGUUCUGACAUUGUUGAUAAGCAUGCACCUGUUUGUAACAAAGAAUGUUUGAAUAAAAAGAAUAUUCAAGUAUAAGCUGCAAUGUACUUGUAGUGUACAUCUGCUUGUGCAUACACGGAAGCUCUUGUUUGCAAACAAUUAAUUAUCCUUUGGAAUAAGAGACAAAGACAGAUAUUGUGUUAGAGUAUUUAAUUAUUAUUCAUCUCACCCUAACUAGAUGAAAGAGGUUUUUUGUUUGCCACGACAACUUGGGGGCUCAUCCGAGAUGUUUAACCUGAGUUUUCCUUAAGGCUUUUUCACAGGUCAACUGUGCACAGCCGGAGACUGGGUCCCGGCGCCCAACCUCUCCCUAAAGAGGAUCGUGAUCAACUUAUGGGCAUGACAAGGGGUUGCCUGUUGGAGAAACGAAUCAGGGAUUCCUUCAGCAUCUCAAGGGGAAAAAGAACUUAAAAGGCGCUGCAAAUAGAGAUGGCUUCCAUGACAGUCACAUUAAAGGUAUGCGAUGUAGCAUUGUCAGCUGCUGUUUGUAAACACACAUCAUUCAAAGUUGGCCACACCUCCACGGCUCAACCAGCCGGGGAGAGAGAGCAGCGGUGGUCAAGCGAGCUGGAGUGUGAAUGAAGAGAGGGAGCGGCGUUAGCAUGAAUGAAGCAGUCAAUUAGAGAAAUAAAGCAUUAUUUUCAGA
Molecule: long non-coding RNA, 3224 nt
Organism: Sebastes umbrosus (honeycomb rockfish)
Lineage: Eukaryota; Metazoa; Chordata; Actinopteri; Perciformes; Sebastidae
Exons: 2
Source: RefSeq, a predicted model, not a curated record